Molecule: ribosomal RNA, 492 nt
Filed under: uncultured bacterium
Lineage: Bacteria
Description: partial 16S ribosomal RNA
Rfam family: Bacterial small subunit ribosomal RNA
Source: RNAcentral
AGUGAACGCUGGCGGUAGGCCUAACACAUGCAAGUCGAACGGCAGCACAGUAAGAGCUUGCUCUUACGGGUGGCGAGUGGCGGACGGGUGAGGAAUACAUCGGAAUCUACUUUUUCGUGGGGGAUAACGUAGGGAAACUUACGCUAAUACCGCAUACGACCUACGGGUGAAAGCAGGGGAUCUUCGGACCUUGCGCGAUUGAAUGAGCCGAUGUCGAAUUAGCUAGUUGGCGGGGUAAAGGCCCACCAAGGCGACGAUCCGUAGCUGGUCUGAGAGGAUGAUCAGCCACACUGGAACUGAGACACGGUCCAGACUCCUACGGGAGGCAGCAGUGGGGAAUAUUGGACAAUGGGCGCAAGCCUGAUCCAGCCAUACCGCGUGGGUGAAGAAGGCCUUCGGGUUGUAAAGCCCUUUUGUUGGGAAAGAAAAGCAGCAGGUUAAUACCCCGCUGUUCUGUCGGUACCCAAAGAAUAAGCACCGGCUAACUUCGUG